UUAAAGGUAGACUAAUAAAAGUUAUUAGACUCAUAAUCUAAGGAUAAUUUUACAAUUUCUUUAAA
Molecule: transfer RNA, 65 nt
Filed under: Encyrtus sasakii
Lineage: Eukaryota; Metazoa; Arthropoda; Insecta; Hymenoptera; Encyrtidae
Description: tRNA-Met
Source: RNAcentral